Acanthosepion pharaonis is the source of this 77-nucleotide non-coding RNA. Lineage: Eukaryota; Metazoa; Mollusca; Cephalopoda; Sepiida; Sepiidae. The record is from the annotation of a GenBank genome assembly.
CGUACGAUCACCGAAGUUAAGCAACGUUGAACCUGAUCGGUACCUAGAUGGGUGACCGCUUGGGAAUAACAGGUGCU